RNAcentral lists this ribosomal RNA (305 nucleotides) under uncultured bacterium. RNAcentral's name for it is "bacterial SSU rRNA". It matches the Rfam family "Bacterial small subunit ribosomal RNA", at positions 337 to 635 of the family's 1533-position model. The record is from RNAcentral.
GCCUACGGGGCGCAGCAGUAGGGAAUUUUCGUCAAUGGGCGCAAGCCUGAACGAGCAAUGCCGCGUGAACGAGGAAGGUCUUCGGAUCGUAAAGUUCUGUUGAAGGGGAAAAAGAGCGGAGAGAGGAAAUGAACUCCGAUUGAUAUUACCCUUCGAGGAAGUCACGGCUAACUACGUGCCAGCAGCCGCGGUAAUACGUAGGUGGCGAGCGUUAUCCGGAAUGAUUGGGCGUAAAGGGUGCGUAGGCGGUCCGUUAAGUCAGCGGUAAAAUUGCGGGGCUCAACCCCGUCGAGCCGUUGAAACUG